Molecule: long non-coding RNA, 3567 nt
Organism: Vicugna pacos (alpaca)
Lineage: Eukaryota; Metazoa; Chordata; Mammalia; Artiodactyla; Camelidae
Source: RefSeq, a predicted model, not a curated record
UGAGAGUGUUUUGCUGUUUGUGCUCUAGUUUCAGAAUUGGUGUACCCUUUGGGAGAUUUACAUGGGGAUCUUGCUAUGGAGUCAGAAUGUCUUCCAUGUGAUCUUGAUUUUGUUCCUGAGCUAGUCUGCUUUUGAGGCUAUCAGACCGCCGUCUAUUUCUCCCCCAUGAAGAACUUCUACUUCGAGUUCUCCUUUGGCUGGGGCUUCUUGAUCUCCGGUGAUCGCUUGGAGAACAAGGGUGACGUUCUUUUGAUUUCAUUUGGCCUGGUGCUAGAAUAUGAAGUUCAAGACUUAUAAUUCACUAUCAAUAAAUAACCACUCAAUAAAUAAACCAUUCAAAUAGUAUUAUUUUCUGAAAGAUUUUUAAAUAAAAAAAUCUGUCAUUGCUGAAACUCAUUCUGCUGAAUAAACAAGAUCUACUAUUUGGUCACACUUACUUUUGCGAUCACCUUGUGCAAACUGUAUUUCAAUCUGACGGCCACAUACCCACUUUCUAUUGAGGUUAUAAAGAGCAUCUUCAGCAUCACGAACAUCUUCAAAUAUGACUAGCUGUUAAGGACACUUUGAACAUCAAUAUCAAGUAAAAAUAUUGUUUUUAAAAAAUUAUUUACAUGUAACAUGAAAUUAAUCAGAAAAACAAGUUUGAGUUACUAAGCUCACAUCUCUAAUAUAAAAUGAAUAAUCAGAUAAGAAGUUACUUUUAUUAUCAAAUGAUCUAUUAUGAUUCAAAAGAGUAAAUCUAAAAAUUAAAAAAAAACAAAUGUGUAACUACAUUUUUAAUGUAUUCAUUAGUGCAACUGUAGUAUGUAUGUUUAAUUUGAAACAUGUUAUGAGGGAAAAUAAGUCCAACAUUGGCUAGUAUUAUUAAAUAAACUGUUUAGGACUCACUCCUUUCUUUCAGGUAAAAGAUUUAUCACGUUUUUCACUGAAAAAAAUCAGCAUGCAGAAGUCUUUAUUCUGAAAUUAAAAUUACUCUUUCAUUAAAAGGCUUUUUAAUUCAUUUAGGAGAAAUUACUUAUAAACAAAAGUGCAAACACAUAAGUGAGCUAAAACAUUACAUUCUCAAAACUUAUAUGGUCCUUUAAAAAUGAUCAUAUCUAACUUUGAAACUACUGCUUUAAAAACACCUUUAUGUUUUUAUUACUUGGGAUAGAAUUAGAAACAUAAUAUCCCACUAAACUCCCUUAUCUAUAGAAAUUAUAUGUUUAACCUAACUAAAAAUGGAAAUAAACUAUAUAAAAUGACUAAAUAGCUGUCAGGAAGUUGUUCACUUGUUCAAUUUUUUUUCUUUAAAUAGAAAACAGAAAAAGCUCAAGUACUGCAAAACAAAAUGAGACUUUGGCAAUUACCUCCAUGUCACUUGAUCUUGACCUUGACCUUUAUUCUUUAGGGCUUGCAAGAUGGACUUUAUAAGAGACGCAGAACCAACAAAAUCAGACUUGGCUUUGACUCUGGAACUCUGAGUAAAUGUAGGAAAGCCGAAGUCUCAACCUGGUGUUGGCUUUGUCUUUUGCUUGAUAAAGACUUCCCCUCUUCCAGGUCUUUAUACUGUGUCCACCCUCCCUUUUUACUCCUUGAUGCUUCAACUUUAGGUGUCUUUUGUCUCGCCUGCUUGGUUUAUGCUUGAAUUCUAGCUAACAGGUUGGUUCAAACUGGGGGGCGCUUGCCAGCUACUGUGGACUGCUUUAGAUUUUCUGAGAUAAAGAAAUAAACACAUUUAAUUAGGCAAUAUUAAUCUCAUAACACAUGCUUCUGAAUACACAUAUGUAUACGCACAUGUAUGUAAUCUGUUCACACACAGUAAAAUAAAGGAUAUUGAACAUAAGCAAAUCCUCUUGGGCGGCGGGUGUAGAAGUCAAGUGGAAUGUAAACGUCUACUAUAGGGCCAUAUCGACCAAAUUCACGGCGCAAGUCCUCAGGCCUGAAGUGUUUUAGAAAUAAGGCAAAGAAAUAUGAAUAGCCGGAUUAAAAUACUGUGCCUACAGAAAACCCACUUAAAAUCUUCAAAAGAAAGUAUAUGAUCCAGAUUAGCACUAUCUACAAUCUCUCUGGGGUUUAGAAAAGAAGGAAAAAGAAAAGGAAACAAAUUCUCAGCUCUCACCUCUGGAGAUUCUGAUUCAAGAAGUCUGGAUUGGGGUUGGAAAUUUGUAUUUUUACCAGCACUGUAGGUGGCUGUUAUGCUUAGUCAGGCUGGGGAACCACUGACCCAGCAUAUCGACUUUUGAAAGUUAAUGCUAUUGCAAGACUUUUCAAUUGUCAAUAUAAAGAGUUCUAUUUCAUUAAGAACAUAUUCAUUUGCCUCACUAUAAUUUCACAUUUAUGUUAACUGUUUUCAGAUAGCAAGAAUUAGAUUCUAAAGAAGUCCUAAAAUUAUUUCUCAGGCUUUAAAGAAAGAUGGACGUUUUACUAGUAAACAUAAAACAAAAAUAACUACCAUAUUCUCAAAUUUGACAAGAAUUUUUGAGUCACUUACGUGACUUCUCUGUGAUAGUACUAAAGAGGGGAUACCAAAGAAAUACAUAGCAUAAUAUUUGUCUUCAUGGAGCUACAACUUAACUGAAGAGACAAAACACUUGGAAUUAAGAGCUCGCCGUUAUAGUGUGUUUAUAUGCCAGCUACUGUUAAACUUAAGACCACUUAAUUCCCAGAACAAGCCUACUGUUGUUUAUAGAUGAGGGCACAGACAGAUGAACUCACCUAACGCGACCGAGGUAAAAUCAAACUCCCAGUCUGACACUAGUCUCUGUUCCUAACCACUGAACCCUACUGCCUCAUGAAGAUCUGACAGAUCAGCAUCAAGCUAUGAGCACAAAACAUGGCUUAGAAGAUGUAGCACAUUUCAAAACACUGUGCAGAAAAAGACCCAAAUGACUGCAAAGCUUCUAACUUGGGCAAAUAAAAGAAAGAUGGUGUCUAUGAAGAAAAUUAAAUAGCUGGAAAAGAGAUUUAGGUUGAAGAGGAAGGAGAGAGGCAAAAGAAGAAACUUUCAGGUUUAGAAAUGCUAAAAUUGACGUGAUGCUGGUACACCCACUCUGUAAGAAACUGAAAACUGCCACUAUACAAAUUACACUAAUUAAUUUUAUUUUCCUCUCAUGACUAGAAGUUAGUGACUAAAGCCAGAUAUGUGAAUAUAGGAGUUAUUACAUAAAGAUUCAGCUAACACUGACUAAGCUGAAUACCAGGUGGUGCAGCCGAUGUUGUGACAAGCGUUAUUAUACUUCUAUUAUUUAUUAUUUUAUUUCAUGUACUACUCACUAUAACAUGUUUAAUUGUCUGCCUUCCCUGAGAGACUGUUAACUUUAAAUUUAGAGUAGAGUGACAAUGUUUUUCUUUCAUUUAUUCAUUCAAUAAAUACUUAUUGAGUACAUACUAUGGGCCAGGCUCUAGGAAAUUUUUUUUUUGUAUUUUUGUUGUGACCUAUUUUGACAUUCAGAAAUGUGUAGAGAUAAUAAAACAAACAUCCGUGUAUCCACCAACAAGAUUUAUUAUAUCUCAAUACUUGCCAUAUUUGCCAUAAUUUUCAGUAUUUUUAAAGAAAUAAGAUAUUAUAUCUUUCUACCUAAGAAA